Styela clava is the source of this 453-nucleotide non-coding RNA. NCBI's taxonomy places the organism in Eukaryota, Metazoa, Chordata, Ascidiacea, Stolidobranchia, Styelidae. The record is from RefSeq and is a predicted model, not a curated record.
GUAAUCUAUUGCGCUAGUAGUUGUUUAUCGUGUUUAAUAUUGGGUUUACUAUUCGCGGUUAGGAUAAACUAUUCGAAUUGAAGUUAUUAAUUGGGUUUAAAAUCAAGGGUUCAUACUGGAGUUGUAAUAUAAUGUAGGGAUACAGGCUAGGGUUGUAAUAUAGUCCAAAUAGAAUGAUAAAUGCUGUUUCUUGUAUUUAGUCACAUAAGUUAAGUUGUAUUUACUUUGGAUUAUAAUUUGUUGAAUUGAGUUGCCUGGAGAUCCUAAACAUUCGAAAACCGUUCCAUUAACAACGUUCCUUUACGUUCCUCAUACCCGGUAUCAAGAUUUACGUUACGUUCCAUUAACAACGUUCCGUUUCCGGUACCCGGCAAGUUCUAUUUUCCUGAUUCAUGUUCGAGAUUUGAUUUGAAGUGUCUGUUGAUUGUUAUUAAAGAUAUUCACCGAUUUCAA